This 494-nucleotide ribosomal RNA is filed under the name uncultured bacterium. RNAcentral's name for it is "bacterial SSU rRNA". It matches the Rfam family "Bacterial small subunit ribosomal RNA", at positions 28 to 507 of the family's 1533-position model. The record is from RNAcentral.
GAUGAACGCUAGCUACAGGCUUAACACAUGCAAGUCGAGGGGAAACGAUAUUGGAAGCUUGCUUCUGAUAGGCGUCGACCGGCGCACGGGUGAGUAACGCGUAUCCAACCUGCCCAUCACUUGGGGAUAACCUUGCGAAAGUAAGACUAAUACCCAAUGACGUCUCUAGAAGACAUCUGAAAGAGAUUAAAGAUUUAUCGGUGAUGGAUGGGGAUGCGUCUGAUUAGCUUGUUGGCGGGGUAACGGCCCACCAAGGCGACGAUCAGUAGGGGUUCUGAGAGGAAGGUCCCCCCACAUUGGAACUGAGACACGGUCCAAACUCCUACGGGAGGCAGCAGUGAGGAAUAUUGGUCAAUGGACGAGAGUCUGAACCAGCCAAGUAGCGUGCAGGAUGACGGCCCUAUGGGUUGUAAACUGCUUUUAUAAGGGAAUAAAGUGGGAGUCGUGACUCUUUUUUGCAUGUACCUUAUGAGUAAGGACCGGCUAAUUCCGUG